GUGCACGAGUUCGGGGCGGGCACUGGUGAGGACAGUGAUGAGGGCUUAUUCUUUUAUUUCGCACUUCACUCCGGCGUUUGUUCUUUUCUUUCUGAAUGGAUCAUCAGAUGACGGAGACACUUCAAUAAUCACUCACACGUUAUUAUCAUCAGCUCAAGGAGUUCAUUAUAUUGAAUAUAGAUGCGAUCGCGAGCUCCCUGGAGAAAUUGAAAACCGCUCGCACUUUUAGACUGCCGUAAAACUACAACAGGACAUGGCAGAUUUUGUUCUUCUUGGCUUUGUGGCUGUACAUCAAGACAACGACAAGGUUUGUUUGAGCUCAGGUCAUCCAUGGCUCAUUAUUAUAUGCAUAUUGUAUUUUUAUGACAUGUCACAUUACAGCAUAGGAUUGUAACUGUCAAACAAAGCAACGUUCACUUGUAGUGUAGAAGAGCUGUAGAUGUCAAUAAGAGUUAAAAGCCCAGGUGUAUAAAUGUUUUUUUGUGCAUAAUUGAUACAUUAUUUUAAAAAAUUCCUUUACAUUUUUGUAACUUUGUUUUCUUUCACUGUAUGUAUGACUGUUUUGCUGAUGUUUCAUCCUGUCUUAUGUAAACAGUAUGGGGCAUUCCUCCAGAAAUGACUUUUCCCUCAGUGCCUGAAUAAAAAUAUAAAUUGUAUAAAUGUAAAUAAAUGGAGGAUGACUUAAAA
Molecule: non-coding RNA, 687 nt
Organism: Danio rerio (zebrafish)
Lineage: Eukaryota; Metazoa; Chordata; Actinopteri; Cypriniformes; Danionidae
Source: RefSeq, a predicted model, not a curated record